UCCCUGGUGGUCCAACAGUUAAGACUCAGUGCUUUCACUGCAGGGGGCCUGGGUUCAAUCCCUGGUCAGGGAA
This 73-nucleotide transfer RNA is filed under the name Bos taurus (domestic cattle). It matches the Rfam family "tRNA". From Rfam's summary of the family: Transfer RNA (tRNA) molecules are approximately 80 nucleotides in length. Their secondary structure includes four short double-helical elements and three loops (D, anti-codon, and T loops). RNAcentral also lists the same sequence under 5 other names. Lineage: Eukaryota; Metazoa; Chordata; Mammalia; Artiodactyla; Bovidae. The record is from Rfam by way of RNAcentral.